This 1179-nucleotide ribosomal RNA is filed under the name Cronobacter sakazakii. RNAcentral describes it as "partial 23S ribosomal RNA". It matches the Rfam family "Bacterial large subunit ribosomal RNA", at positions 1752 to 2925 of the family's 2925-position model. Lineage: Bacteria; Pseudomonadati; Pseudomonadota; Gammaproteobacteria; Enterobacterales; Enterobacteriaceae. The record is from RNAcentral.
CCCCUGCGGGUGGAGCUGAAGUCAGUCGAAGAUACCAGCUGGCUGCAACUGUUUAUUAAAAACACAGCACUGUGCAAACACGAAAGUGGACGUAUACGGUGUGACGCCUGCCCGGUGCCGGAAGGUUAAUUGAUGGGGUUAUCGCAAGAGAAGCUCCUGAUCGAAGCCCCGGUAAACGGCGGCCGUAACUAUAACGGUCCUAAGGUAGCGAAAUUCCUUGUCGGGUAAGUUCCGACCUGCACGAAUGGCGUAAUGAUGGCCAGGCUGUCUCCACCCGAGACUCAGUGAAAUUGAACUCGCUGUGAAGAUGCAGUGUACCCGCGGCAAGACGGAAAGACCCCGUGAACCUUUACUACAGCUUGACACUGAACAUUGAGCCUUGAUGUGUAGGAUAGGUGGGAGGCUUUGAAGCGUGGACGCCAGUCUGCGUGGAGCCGACCUUGAAAUACCACCCUUUAAUGUUUGAUGUUCUAACCUGGCGCCGUGAUCCGGCGUGGGGACAGUGUCUGGUGGGUAGUUUGACUGGGGCGGUCUCCUCCCAAAGUGUAACGGAGGAGCACGAAGGUCAGCUAAUCCUGGUCGGACAUCAGGAGGUUAGUGCAAUGGCAUAAGCUGGCUUGACUGCGAGAGUGACGGCUCGAGCAGGUGCGAAAGCAGGUCAUAGUGAUCCGGUGGUUCUGUAUGGAAGGGCCAUCGCUCAACGGAUAAAAGGUACUCCGGGGAUAACAGGCUGAUACCGCCCAAGAGUUCAUAUCGACGGCGGUGUUUGGCACCUCGAUGUCGGCUCAUCACAUCCUGGGGCUGAAGUAGGUCCCAAGGGUAUGGCUGUUCGCCAUUUAAAGUGGUACGCGAGCUGGGUUUAGAACGUCGUGAGACAGUUCGGUCCCUAUCUGCCGUGGGCGCUGGAGAAUUGAGGGGGGCUGCUCCCAGUACGAGAGGACCGGAGUGGACGCAUCACUGGUGUUCGGGUUGUCAUGCCAAUGGCACUGCCCGGUAGCUAAAUGCGGAAGAGAUAAGUGCUGAAAGCAUCUAAGCACGAAACUUGCCCCGAGAUGAGUUCUCCCUGAGACUGUAAGUCUCCUGAAGGAACGUUGAAGACGACGACGUUGAUAGGCCGGGUGUGUAAGCGCAGCGAUGCGUUGAGCUAACCGGUACUAAUGAACCGUGAGGCUUAACCUU